Molecule: ribosomal RNA, 502 nt
Filed under: uncultured bacterium
Lineage: Bacteria
Description: partial 16S ribosomal RNA
Rfam family: Bacterial small subunit ribosomal RNA
Source: RNAcentral
AUUGAACGCUGGUGGCAUGCUUAACACAUGCAAGUCGAACGGCAGCACAGUGUGUAGCAAUACACAUGGGUGGCGAGUGGCGGACGGGUGCGUAACGCGUAGGAAUCUGCCCUGAAGCGGGGGACAACCCGAGGAAAUUCGGGCUAAUACCGCAUAAUCUCGAGAGAGAAAAGCUGGGGAAACCUGGCACUUCAGGAGGAGCCUGCGUCCGAUUAGCUAGUUGGUAGGGUAAAAGCCUACCAAGGCGAUGAUCGGUAGCUGGUCUGAGAGGAUGAUCAGCCACACUGGGACUGAGACACGGCCCAGACUCCUACGGGAGGCAGCAGUGGGGAAUAUUGGACAAUGGGGGCAACCUUGAUCCAGCAAUGCCGCGUGUGUGAAGAAGGCCUUCGGGUUGUAAAGCACUUUAGUUGGGGAAGAAGAUGUGUAGUUUAAGAGAUGACACAUUUGACGGUACCCAAAGAAUAAGCACCGGCUAACUCUGUGCCAGCAGCCGCAGUAA